GACGAACGCUAGCGGUGUGCUUAACACAUGCAAGUCGAACGGUGACGCCCUUCGGGGCUGAUCAGUGGCGAACGGGUGAGUAACACGUGAGUAACCUGCCCUCAUCUCUGGGAUAACUCCGGGAAACCGGGGCUAAUACUGGAUACGACACUCUGGGGCAUCCCUGGGUGUGGAAAGUUUUUCGGAUGAGGAUGGGCUCGCGGCCUAUCAGCUAGUUGGUGGGGUAACGGCCUACCAAGGCGACGACGGGUAGCCGGCCUGAGAGGGCGACCGGCCACACUGGGACUGAGACACGGCCCAGACUCCUGCGGGAGGCAGCAGUGGGGAAUAUUGCGCAAUGGGCGAAAGCCUGACGCAGCAACACCGCGUGAGGGAAGAAGGCCUAUGGGUUGUAAACCUCUUUCGGCAGGAAAGAAAUUGACGGUACCUGCAGAAGAAGCACCGGCUAACUACGUGCCAGCCGCCGCGGUAA
Molecule: ribosomal RNA, 472 nt
Filed under: uncultured bacterium
Lineage: Bacteria
Description: partial 16S ribosomal RNA
Rfam family: Bacterial small subunit ribosomal RNA
Source: RNAcentral